Molecule: ribosomal RNA, 253 nt
Filed under: uncultured bacterium
Lineage: Bacteria
Description: partial 16S ribosomal RNA
Rfam family: Bacterial small subunit ribosomal RNA
Source: RNAcentral
UACGUAGGGGGCAAGCGUUAUCCGGAUUUACUGGGUGUAAAGGGAGCGUAGACGGCAGUGCAAGUCCGGAGUGAAAGCCCGGGGCUCAACGCUGGGACUGCUCUGGAAACUGUAAAGCUGGAGUGCGGGAGGGGCAGGCGGAAUUCCUGGUGUAGCGGUGAAAUGCGUAGAUAUCAGGAGGAACACCGGCGGCGAAGGCGGCCUGCUGGACCGUAACUGACGUUGAGGCUCGAAAGCGUGGGGAGCAAACAGG